This 292-nucleotide ribosomal RNA is filed under the name uncultured bacterium. RNAcentral describes it as "partial 16S ribosomal RNA". The record is from RNAcentral.
GGACUACACGGGUAUCUAAUCCUGUUUGCUCCCCUUGCUCUCGCGCCUCAGCGUCAGGUCAUAGCUAGAAAACCGCUUUCGCCACAGGUGUUCUUCCACAUAUCUACGCAUUUCACCGCUACACGUGGAAUUCCGUUUUCUCCGCCAUCCCUCUAGACUUAUAGUUUCAAAUGCAGCUCCAAAAUUGAGUCUUGGAAUUUCACAUCUGACUUAUAUAUCCGCCUACGCGCCCUUUACGCCCAAUAAUUCCGAUUAAUGCUUGCACCCUCCGUAUUACCGCGGCUGCUGGCAC